UUUCCUAUUAUGCCUUAAAAGAGUGAAUCAUGAGGAGCAGCAGCUCAGAACUGCUCCUUGAUCAACAAGAGGGUCUCCGCCAACGUAAAAUAAAAGAAUUAGCGCAACAAGCCAAAAAGACGAGAGCAUCAGGGCAAUCAUGUCGGGAACGAACCCUCUUUUAUUCAACAAGCGUUCUCGCGGUAAUAGCUAUGUCGGCCGGAUCAUCACUACUAUUCCUAGUACCACUAUAUGUAGAUCCAGCGAUAUCAACUCUUGUUUCCAAUUUUGUUACAGAACCAGUUACUUGUGUUACGACCCGUCGUGAUGAACUUAUCGGUCUCGCGAAUUGUUCUUGGAGUUCGUGUCGCGAGGGUUGCACGAGUGAUGCGUAUCAGUGUACUCACAUUUACGUAAGUUACAACGAUUCCAGUAGCGCACCUAAUCAAACUGAUAACGCGAUAUUGUUAGUUAAUAUAAAAGGUUGUGGCUAUCCGCCGAGAGUACUAUGCGCAAAUUUCACGGAAGCUUACGGGAAUGAGGGAACCGAAUUUCCCUGUUACCAUUCUCGUGAGAACCGUACCGUCGUACUCACACAUUACGAUAGAGAUGAGCAGGUUGCUAUCAUAAUACAUUAUUUUGCUGUGCCAUUUGUAAUAACUCUCGCUACCUCAGUUGCAUUGUGUGUUAUGCACUGUGAUUGUCGUUGUCACGUUGCAGCUCAUCAUAAAAGGUCGAGGAGACCACGUCUGCAUCAUGAUUUAAGCGAUGGUUCCAUUAGUACUGGUGUGGAUCUGCAUUACACCAUUAGCCAUCACUCCGACUUAAUGGCUGUACCACCAGUGUGAUUGAUCUGCAAGCAGUAUGUAUCUUAUUAAUGUUCGCUGUGGUGAAACUCAUUGUACAUACGUACAGAAAGGCUUUAAUUUGACUUAUUGUACUGAUUUUGCUGGCGAAUUGAAACUUUAUUUCGUAUACUACAAUUGUAAUAAAUGCCUCCCUUUGGUUCAAAUGCGGUGUAGUCAAAAUUACUCGGGCUAACUUAGCUAAAUCUAGGGUAAACAUCUAUGUUUGAAAAUAUGUGACUAAUGCUCAUGUUUAUGCCAUCACACUGACCUCGAGGUUGGUAUGCUGAAACUUUGGACCUCCGCUGCACCGUAGGUGGUAUUUCAUAAUGGGGUUACGAGGGAGGGGAGGGAGGGUUUCUUGGUUCUAUUCCUUAGUCUAAUGUUAAACCAAUUCCCAUAAUUAAACUAAACAGCACUAAUUAAAAAAUAUAUCUAUUAAAGAUAUUCCCACCUUUAACUGUUCUCUCAAUAAGUUCAAAAUUAUGUUGGUAGGUAAAGGUUAGUACAAAUAAACCUCCUUUCUGAAUAAACCAAGGGUCUACAAUGUUUCAUUUGGGAGCCAUAAGAAUGGUUUCCAGAGUCUGGUUUACAGUCUCCAAUGCGCAGAUUGACAGUUUCUUGUUGUCUCCAAUCUUCCAUAAUUUUUUACCAUUGACAACUGGAUUUUCCAAGUAAAUAAAAAUGUUUUGUGGACUGUCUUUACUUUUCUCGAAAAAAAACUGAUUAUACCGAAGGAUACAAAAUGGAAUAGAUUAUUGCCAGAGCAAUCUCAGCCAUACCAACGAUCGAUUCAGUCAUUCAGUAUGAAUUGACAUAGAUGUCAGGCCUGGGAUUUGUCAAUGUGGCAACAUGAACACCAAUAAUUGUCUUUUUAAUGACCCUAUUCAAGAAUCUGAGCCAAGUUAGCCGAGUUUAUCUUAAAUACAUUGUAAAUUUGUAGGUACGCCAAGGAAGAAAAGUUGCUGAACGUUAGAUAAGUUCCCGCUUUGUGUACCUGUAUAUGUAUAUCAUAAUUAGUGUAUGGUUUAUGUUUUAAUGCAACGCAGGAAAACAUUAGGCAAGUUCUAUGGUUAUAACAUACACUAUGCUCGCUUAUUAGACCUAGUCUAGUAAUGAAGCUGAGGUGUACUUUUUUGCCAUAGAUCUUAUAAUAAACUAGUCCUUCGAGACUUUACAAAAAAGGUGAUUUAUAUAAACGUAAUUUAUGUGUUAGUUAGGUAAAUAUUAUGUUAAAAUAGGAACAUAUACCUACAUUUGUUUCGUGUUGAAUAAUUUAAUGGAACUAGAAGUAACCAGCUUAUUUGCUUUUGAAUGAAUCCAAUUCAUUUUUGAAAAUAAACUUUUGUACAAAAGAUGGCGAUUGUAUAUUUGUUGCAAUGGAAAGGGAAUAAAGCAACCCUUAAUUCGUAUGAAAGUAAAUCAAGUCUCAGGUGGUAUUGUAUUAACAAUUAUUGUUAAUUUCAUAAUCAAAGUGACGCACAUUUCUUUUCUAUACAAUAAGUUUUUGUAAUAAUUAUUAUACUUAAAGACACUUUUGUCUAUUGCACAUUUUUUAAAUUAAGUAAGGUGUGAUUUACUCAUUAGGUACCCUUGUAAUAAUUAUGCGAUACUGUUUACUUAAAUGUAAUAUUUUUAUUACUUGAGUGUGAAAGUGUUAGGAUAUAUUUCUAUUUAGAAAAUAACCAACCAUUAAGUCUUGUUGGUUGUGGGAUACCUACAAUGUGUUGUAUUCGUGAAUAUCGAAUUGACUUGCAUAUCUAUUGUACAGCUGCUUGUGGUUUUGCUUUCCACUUGUUUGUAUAGAAAAACAAUCAUUUAGUAUGUUGAAAUAUUAUGGUUGGUUCUGUGAUACAUUUCGAUUGGUUGUUGUAUAUUCUUUAAAUAAUUGUUACCAAUAAUACAUAAUAUUUAUUUUAUCUUUUUGUUUAUUUUUAUACUUGUAUGUUAAAUAAACCUUCAUUAAUUUAA
Photinus pyralis (common eastern firefly) is the source of this 2795-nucleotide RNA transcript. It is a transcript of the gene named protein tipE, with no coding region annotated. The transcript has 2 exons. The record is from RefSeq and is a predicted model, not a curated record. Lineage: Eukaryota; Metazoa; Arthropoda; Insecta; Coleoptera; Lampyridae.